Molecule: ribosomal RNA, 253 nt
Filed under: uncultured bacterium
Lineage: Bacteria
Description: partial 16S ribosomal RNA
Rfam family: Bacterial small subunit ribosomal RNA
Source: RNAcentral
UACGGGGGGAGCAAGCGUUGUUCGGAUUUACUGGGCGUAAAGGGCGCGUAGGCGGCACUGCAAGUCGACUGUGAAAUCUCCGGGCUUAACCCGGAAAGGUCAGCCGAUACUGCGGGGCUAGAGUGCAGAAGGGGCAACUGGAAUUCUCGGUGUAGCGGUGAAAUGCGUAGAUAUCGAGAGGAACACCUGCGGCGAAGGCGGGUUGCUGGGCUGACACUGACGCUGAGGCGCGAAAGCUAGGGGAGCGAACGGG